GUCAAUGUGGCAGAGGUACAUGCAAAAGUUCUAAGAUCUUUUUACGGGCGCAAAGUCCCAUUGAUU
This 66-nucleotide transfer RNA is filed under the name Botrylloides leachii. Its description in RNAcentral is "transfer RNA-Leu(UUR)". The record is from RNAcentral. Lineage: Eukaryota; Metazoa; Chordata; Ascidiacea; Stolidobranchia; Styelidae.